GUCUCAAAGAUUAAGCCAUGCAAGUGUAAGUACGAGCUCGAGUACAGUGAAACUGCGAAUGGCUCAUUAAAUCAGUUAUGGUUCAUUUGAUCGUACGCUUUAAUACAUGGAUAACUGUGGCAAUUCUAGAGCUAAUACAUGCGUGAAGCGCCGACCUGACGGAAGGCGUGCAUUUAUCAGACCAAAACCAACCGGGCCUCGGCUCGUUUUGACGGUGACUCUGGAUAAGCUCGCGGAUCGCACGGCCUCGCGCCGGCGACAUCUCUUUAAAGCAACUGCCCUAUCAACUAUCGUCGGUACGGUAUCGGCCUACCGAGGUUGUAACGGGUGACGGAGAAUCAGGGUUCGAUUCCGGAGAGGGAGCCUGAGAAACGGCUACCACAUCCAAGGAAGGCAGCAGGCGCGCAAAUUACCCAUUCCCGGCUCGGGGAGGUAGUGACGAAAAAUAACAAUACAGGCCUCGUACGAGGCCCUGUAAUUGGAAUGAGUACACUUUAAACGCUUUAACGAGUAUCCAUUGGAGGGCAAGUCUGGUG
This 536-nucleotide ribosomal RNA is filed under the name Thaliacea sp. UR14. RNAcentral's name for it is "SSU rRNA". It matches the Rfam family "Eukaryotic small subunit ribosomal RNA", at positions 34 to 566 of the family's 1831-position model. Lineage: Eukaryota; Metazoa; Chordata; Thaliacea. The record is from RNAcentral.